GUCGGUGUGGCUCAGUUGGUUAGAGCGUUGGUCUCAUACUUUAAAGUGUGACUCGGUUAAACACCUGGGUAAUCCAAAGGUCGAGAGUUCGAGCCUCUCCACCGACA
This is a non-coding RNA of Fusarium poae, 107 nucleotides long. The record is from Rfam. NCBI's taxonomy places the organism in Eukaryota, Fungi, Ascomycota, Sordariomycetes, Hypocreales, Nectriaceae.